AACGAACGCUGGCGGCAGGCUUAACACAUGCAAGUCGAGCGCCCCGCAAGGGGAGCGGCAGACGGGUGAGUAACGCGUGGGAACGUACCUUUUGGUUCGGAACAACUCCGGGAAACUGGAGCUAAUACCGGAUAAGCCCUAACGGGGAAAGAUUUAUCGCCGAAAGAUCGGCCCGCGUCUGAUUAGCUAGUUGGUGAGGUAACGGCUCACCAAGGCGACGAUCAGUAGCUGGUCUGAGAGGAUGAUCAGCCACACUGGGACUGAGACACGGCCCAGACUCCUACGGGAGGCAGCAGUGGGGAAUAUUGGACAAUGGGCGCAAGCCUGAUCCAGCCAUGCCGCAUGAGUGAUGAAGGCCUUAGGGUUGUAAAGCUCUUUUGUCCGGGAAGAUAAUGACUGUACCGGAAGAAUAAGCCCCGGCUAACUUCGU
Molecule: ribosomal RNA, 430 nt
Filed under: uncultured bacterium
Lineage: Bacteria
Description: partial 16S ribosomal RNA
Rfam family: Bacterial small subunit ribosomal RNA
Source: RNAcentral